GCGCGCUACCAUGCAGUCGAGCGGAGCGAGGGUGCUUGCACCUUAGCUUAGCGGCGGACGGGUGAGUAAUGCUUAGGAAUCUGCCUAUUAGUGGGGGACAACAUUCCGAAAGGGAUGCUAAUACCGCAUACGCCCUAAGGGGGAAAGCAGGGGAUCUUCGGACCUUGCGCUAAUAGAUGAGCCUAAGUCGGAUUAGCUAGUUGGUGGGGUAAAGGCCUACCAAGGCGACGAUCUGUAGCGGGUCUGAGAGGAUGAUCCGCCACACUGGGACUGAGACACGGCCCAGACUCCUACGGGAGGCAGCAGUGGGGAAUAUUGGACAAUGGGCGGAAGCCUGAUCCAGCCAUGCCGCGUGUGUGAAGAAGGCCUUUUGGUUGUAAAGCACUUUAAGCGAGGAGGAGGCUACUAGUAUUAAUACUACUGGAUAGUGGACGUUACUCGCAGAAUAAGCACCGGCUAACUCUGUGCCAGCAGCCGCGGUAAUACAGAGGGUGCGAGCGUUAAUCGGAUUUACUGGGCGUAAAGCGUGCGUAGGCGGCUUUUUAAGUCGGAUGUGAAAUCCCCGAGCUUAACUUGGGAAUUGCAUUCGAUACUGGGAAGCUAGAGUAUGGGAGAGGAUGGUAGAAUUCCAGGUGUAGCGGUGAAAUGCGUAGAGAUCUGGAGGAAUACCGAUGGCGAAGGCAGCCAUCUGGCCUAAUACUGACGCUGAGGUACGAAAGCAUGGGGAGCAAACAGGAUUAGACACCCUGGUAGUCCAUGCCGUAAACGAUGUCUACUAGCCGUUGGGGCCUUUGAGGCUUUAGUGGCGCAGCUAACGCGAUAAGUAGACCGCCCUGGGGAGUACGGUCGCAAGACUAAAACUCAAGGAAUUUGACGG
RNAcentral lists this ribosomal RNA (877 nucleotides) under uncultured bacterium. RNAcentral's name for it is "bacterial SSU rRNA". It matches the Rfam family "Bacterial small subunit ribosomal RNA", at positions 46 to 916 of the family's 1533-position model. The record is from RNAcentral.